This 695-nucleotide long non-coding RNA is filed under the name Mus musculus (house mouse). RNAcentral's name for it is "predicted gene, 48683". Lineage: Eukaryota; Metazoa; Chordata; Mammalia; Rodentia; Muridae. The record is from RNAcentral.
CCAUUUUCUUUUUUUUUGUUUUUGGUUUUUCGAGACAGGGUUUCUCACCCUGGCUGUCCUGGAACGCACUCUGUAGACCAGGCUGGCCUCGAACUCAGAAAUCCACCUGCCUCUGCCUCCCGAGUGCUGGGAUUAAAGGAAGAUGUGAGAGAAUUUCUGUGUGAUCACCAAGAUUCCAUACAGAGGCCCUCUCUCAAAAAACAAAACAAACUAAAAAAGAAUGUGGCUCAGCAGGAAAAGGGGCUUGCUGACUAGCCUCAAGACCAGAAUUCGAUCUCUAAGACCCUAGCUUUUCCAAGUUGUCUUCUGACCUCCACAAGCAUGUUGCCCACUAAUUUAAAAACUUUUUUAAAGCAAAAAUAUUUCAUACUCAAAUUUUACCACUUGGCAGACUGAAACAAAAAAAAAAUUACUACAUGCUCAAGUCUAGCCUGGGCAAAAAGAGCAAAACUGCAGGGAAAAAGACUGAGAAACAGAGACAGAUAAAGAUCAAGAGAGACAGAAAGCAACUAUUUUUUAAAGGAUAAAGAAUAGAUUCUUCAGAGAAUUGCCAUCUUCAGCAACAAAUGACAAACAAAAAGGCAUAAGCAGAACUUUCCUUAUUACAGAGGAAAUGAAUAACUACUAUAAAGCUGCAGGUGAGUUCAUUAAUAGAUAAAAGUCUGAGGUCAUAAGUGCCAGGAAAGGACUAAACU